UCGGCGAAUGCUGGUGGAACUACAGGAAUCCAAUCCCCGAGUCGCGGGUUCGAAUCCCGCCAUCGCUUGCGAUGUAGCUCAGUCUGGUAGAGCAGGUCAUAUUUCACCCUCCCCUUGUCGCUGGGAC
Molecule: Y RNA, 127 nt
Filed under: Roseovarius albus
Lineage: Bacteria; Pseudomonadati; Pseudomonadota; Alphaproteobacteria; Rhodobacterales; Roseobacteraceae
Description: Y RNA-like
Rfam family: Y RNA-like
About the family: In Deinococcus radiodurans Rsr is tethered via Y RNA to the exoribonuclease PNPase and channels single-stranded RNA into the PNPase cavity. Rsr and Y RNA enhance degradation of structured RNAs by PNPase.
Source: Rfam by way of RNAcentral